RNAcentral lists this long non-coding RNA (2871 nucleotides) under Panax ginseng (ginseng). RNAcentral's name for it is "long non-coding RNA (PGIN_LNC016428)". The record is from RNAcentral. Lineage: Eukaryota; Viridiplantae; Streptophyta; Magnoliopsida; Apiales; Araliaceae.
AAUUCUGCAGAUAUGCUAAUACAUGGCAAAGAACUCUCACCAAAAAUAUUGGAUGUGACGGUUGAACUCCUACUGCAGGUGACGUAAGUACAAUACCUGCUAUUUGGUUCUCAAGUGCAGGGUCAAGUGCUGCCUACAUUGAUAAAUGCCAAAUCCCAAGCUUUAGAUAUUAGUAAAUGGGGUUUAUUAAGUUGAAAGUUCAAAAAUUCAUUAUCAAGUAGUCUUAAACACACAAAAUUGUUAGCAACCUCACCUUAAGGAUUAUAACUGCACCUGUCGAGUGUCUAAAGCAAAAACAUGGAAGCCCUGGAUUCUCAACUAAAACCUUCCCAAUAAAUGAUUUCUACAUAAAAUUACAGACAAAUAAGGGAAUUAACCUUUUAGCAGAUUACAUUAAUGUAGCAAGUAUCUUUGCAUUUUGUGAAUGAACCUAAAGCAUACCACAUCCAUAACAGCAUCAUCAAGAGAGUGAACAUAUGCAUGCAGCCCAUCACUUCCACCAUGUCCUGAAUAAAAUAAGGAAUAUGAUUUAUAUGUCGAUAAAUCUAUGACAAAAAUGAAUUGUGACUUGCAAAAAUACAAAGUUGGAUACUAAAACUAUAGUUAUCAUACAGAUAUCCAAACAAAUUUUAAUUGUUAAGUGAUAGUAUUAAAUGACUUUCUUAAUUCAUGUGCAAAAACCUUAAACGACAAUCUUUUAGGAACGGAGGUAGUAUCAAAUACCAUGAAAUUCAGUUUCAAUUCCAGCAGAUUCAAAGACCAAUCCCAACUUUCAGCUUUAAAUUUGCAAUCUAAAAACUCCAAAAUCCAAACCAAAAAGCUUCCUCUUUCAUUUACAACUAACACCGAAAACCCAAAGGACAUCAAAUGAGAUUAUAGAAAUGGUACUUUUUUUAUAAUAAGUAAUUUUCAUAUAGAUUUUUCAAUACAUUUUUGCAUGAAAUAUGACUUACAUUUGUAAAUAUAUUGAAUAAUAAAUUUAAUAAUGUCAGAAAAAAAGAUUCAUAAUAUGCUCGUGUAUAAAACACUGAUAUAUCAACAACUCAAAUGAUAAUUGCACUCUCAAAUGGUAAAACAUGCUACCUUAUUGUAGUGUGUUAUCCUAAAAAAAUCUAUUUGAUGGGCUUUCAAGUAUAAUUUAUGAUAUUUUUAUAUCAACACCUGGUCAAAUCUAUUUUGGUAAGCAUUAGAAACAUGAGAUCUGAAUACGACUCAAAUCUAAUCUUAGCAUUAAUUAGAUUUAAAAUCAGUCCCAAUAACAUGAAAGCUAAUUCAAUCCAAAAAAAAAGUAUCCAAAAAAAUCCAAUAAAGAUUAUAUCAAUUAUGAGAACACCUUUAUUAAAUUUUUAUGUUUAAACACACAAUUACAGGUCUCUCCUAAGAAUAAGUUCAGCUACUUCGCUCAUCCUUUCAGCAGAGACACUGAUGAUCCACCAAAUUUCAUCACACAUGUCAAUUCAUUGGAUAACUCCAUCAGAACCUGGACUCUUUGUAUCACUCCUCUGAAGCACAUCUAUAUUUCCUCCGUUACAGCUGAUCCUAAGAACUCUUCCCCUAUAUGAACUUUCUGAUGUUCUACACAAAUCACUAAUGGAAGCCACAGAUGCUACAAAAUUAAGGCGAUGCUUUGAUGCCAGAGGUUGGCAAUGCAAAGCUCUCUCCUUGAGAAAGCAGAGGAAGGAGUUUUAACUCCACAUAAAUGCAUUGCAGUCGCCAUGUCAAAUCAGGUAAGUGAAAUAUGUUAAGGGUCUAAUGGAUCUGUGAAGAUGUUAAUAAGAAAAUUUGACUAAUUAUGUAAGCUAGUGAUUCCUAGCAGCAGACAGAACCAAAUGCUCUCCCUGCUAUGUGAAAUUUUGUAAGACUGUCCAGCUGAGUAGCUCUUAAUAUAGAAAAUGCAUGUAAACAGAUGACCUGCAGAUUCGGAAAAUUUUAAAAGUUGCAUCUUUUAUACUCAGCCAGACAUCUAGUAGUUACUAAUGAAGCUUAAAGUUUAAUCUUUUAUAAUUCUUGGGAUACCUGGCCUGCUAGAUCUAUGCGUACUUUCUUAUGAAAUUGCGGUGUACCAAAUGACGAAUAGAGAACAUACAACAUAUGACACACUAAAUGAGAUGGAGGGAGUACUUUCGAAAUCAUGCCAAACCAUGAUCUGCAAUCUAGUAGCAUCUGAUAUAUUUUCUUCAAAAACAUUUACUGUUUAUGCUUAUGUUUUACACGUUAAAGGUGAGCUUAAGCCAAGGCCCAGCAAAGCUCACCUAGAGCAAGUUGUUUGUUCUCAAUCUCAGCGCCUUCAAUCUGACAUGUGCUUUGUGGGUUUAAGAUUUAAACUCAAUAGCUGGCUUAGCAUGCUUCAAUGGACCUUUUUUUUCUAACUGACCCGACAAUUUGGAGUUUGGGAAUCAGUUGUACUUUAAUUAUUGAAUGUUUUCUGGUGGAUCAAAGCAAAAGAAUAAUCCUAAGGAAUCACCUGAUCUGUGCCGGUCUUCCCUCAUUUCCUCAAUAGCAACAGCUCCUCUUCCCAUUCUAUCUAAGUCCCCGUCUCUCCUUUCUAUUCCAACCCCAUAUUUUUCUUUCGAUCUUCUUUUUUCUUAUUCCAGCUCGCUCUAUCACUCUGCUUUCUCAUAUCAAAACUUAUAAUUUAUCUCUCUCUGUUUUAUCCCAAAUUAACAAUUAUCUAUCACAAAGAUAUUAGCCACUAAUAACAAUACAAAGGAGAUGAGAUUUUCAUGAGAUACCUGAAAAAGCUCGGCACAACCAUGAUAAGCUAAUGCAGAUCCUACUAUUUUGAAAUCAAUUAGGAUAAUUUAAGCUUAUCUAUAUUGUGUUUGAUAAGCAAUUUAGGGUACAAUCGAUUUAUGCUUGCUCAGAUUAGGG